AAAAAAGACAAGUGGAUAAAACUGGUACAAGCAUCUGUAACAAGCUAAUUGGACCCUUGUGGGCAACAUAGCAGAUACAAAAUUAAAACAAACAAAACAUGUCAUUGUACAACUGUACUUUCAGGACCGUUAUCAUGAAGGGAUCCGUCUGGAUUUUUAUUUUUGGUUUGUUUUGUUUAAAAGGACCUAAUUAUGGCCAGAGCUGGAGUAUCACAAGUCUGUUUUCAUCUAUAAAGAAAGGAUAUUUUGCCUCUGAACCUGAGAAAUUGUUAGAAGUUGGUAAUUAGUAUGACUUGUUAAUAGAGUUUGGCUAUGAUUAAGCUGUGAUUGAGUGUGAGUUUGGUUCUUGUCAAUGCGAAUGCCUGUAAGGUUGAGAGAUGUUUAAUGAGACACCUGUUGUCAGCAGCACCCAGUGGGCUUUGUCACGCCUGAUUGGAAUUUGUACUACAGAGCAGGAGUGAUGCUACUCUGAAACACAGCAGUACAUGGGCACCUGGUGGAGCAUGAGGGGGCUGAGGCCUGAAGGAGGGUCAGACCUGUGGGGUACAGUGCCUGGCUGCCAAGGGCAGCCCCUCAGUGAGAGCAGGCUCUGCAGUGCAGCUCUGCAGCCUGUGGAAAGUUGUUACUGCGUGCCUUGGGGACGGGCUGUGUCCAGCAGGCCAGGUGAUGCUCUGCAAGCUGAACAGUUCUAGCUCCAACUAUGGUAUUUAAUAUGAUAAAGCAUCCUUGUCAAGAGCCAUUAUGUCUGACUUGGGGAGUGCAACAGGCAAAAACUGCUGACAUCUUAAUUUAGCCCCUGUGGGGCUUUAACAUUUCUCUCUUUGGGAGAAGGCAAGAGAGGGGAUGCAACCAGGUAUAUUUAAUGCCCCUCAAUUUAAUGCCCAGGGCUCUUUAAAAUGUUAGAUUGAUGGGGAGAGGCUCAGCUUAGCUGUGGUAGCUGUGGUACAUCCCUAUCUCUAGGCAUCAUCUUCAAGCAAAAAUGUCCCAGUGAGCAAACUCAGUAUCUCUUGGGAUUAGGCCAGCAAGAAAGUUUCUUUCAAAGACUGCAUUUUUCUGUUAGAAAUCAGUAUAAUUUUCCACGUCUCCAUGUUGUUAACUCCUACACCAAAAUCCAGGCCUGAUCAUAACUUUGUAUAUUUGGACUGCAUACAUACAAUAUUAUUUCCCCAAAACAUCUUUCAACAUUUUCAAGUGGCUCCUAUUUAAAACAUACCUCAUUUUUACAUGAAAAAGGACAAAGAAGCUGGAAACAGUCAAGCCGGUCGCUUUCACCGUCUUUCCGUAUCUGAGGCCUGCCUUAGCUGGGAACAGAGCAGAAACAUUUCAGCUCACAGAAUGUCCCUGAGGAAGGAGCCAGUGGCUUUGUGAUGAAGCUGAGCAACCACUGGAUGGCAUUGCUCUACACAAAUGUACCUGUGAGCACAUGCAGCUGAGUGUGAGCAGGCUGCUUCACCAAGGAGAUUAAUUCAGACCCGAGAGGCUCAGGCUGCUGUGACCCCACCAAUCCUUUGAAUAAAAGUCAGGCUUCUCUUAGCUGUCUGGCUCCGAGUUCUGGACACACAGUUUGGUCAGAGCGAACAAAGCAGACUUCCCAAAGCACACUUAGUUCUAUGCUGAAUAUAUUCUUCUUUCAUUUUAGGUUAGGUCAAAUAUUUAGCCAGUUUUUUACGCUCUUCCUUCUUAUGAAAGGGGAAAAGAAUCAUUUGUAGCUUGUGAUCAUAUCAAAGUGACUCAGGGCAAGCACAUCCAGCCAGCAAGUUCUGCUUUCACACAAGUCCUGGUCCUGCAGCCAUUCUGGCCAGGCAGCUCCAGCACCCAGGGCUCAGCACAGUGCGAGUCAGCGAGGUUUGUUAUUUGUGUGUAACGUGAAAAGCAGAACUAAAGAAAAAAAGAAGAAAACUGGGUGCCAGGCAUGUGUGGCUUUGAUGUGGGUUCCAUAAUUUUGAGACUAGGUUAUUAUCCCAAGUUUGGUGCCUGUGCUUGCGACAGUGGCCUCUCAGCACACAUAAUACAACUCUGCCUUCUGCUACAGCACUUAUUGAUAAGGAGUCAGCUGGUGGCUAAAUAACCUGAUGUUCAUAUUUUCCCCUGGGGUCUGUGUUUCUUUCAUUAACAGCACACACUGCAUUGGCCUAGUUUUUUUAACGACUACAUCUGGCCAAGCCUAUCUGAAAAUGUCAUUGGCCCAGUUCAGGCCCAGGAGAAAUCCGCUGAUGGCUUUGGAGAAGCAGCAGGAUGUAUGGAAUUGCAGCCCCACAGAAGGUGGAUCUGAAGGGGAAUAAUGCAGGAUUUUUGAGAAUCAAGUUGAAAUUAACUGACACCCAUAGUCUGCACAUCUGUCUUCAAAUUAGGACAUAACUUACUUACAAUUGAGUCUUGUAUAUUGACUGCUAGGUAAAGAUUUCUGGGCACAGAUUGCCUAUUAGUAUCGCCCCAGUUUUGACUGAUCUAACAAAUUUAAUAAUCAUAGUCAUUUGGGCAAAUCCACUUAAACUGGAAUUAAAAUGUCAUGGUCAGUUCAAGUCCUGCAACAGCUCCUACAUGUUGGUUCUCUGGUCUGUACCUAGACCCUGUUGCACUCACCUGCUUUCUUAAGUACUGGAGAAGUAAGACCAGUAGAUCACUUCAUAAAAUGUUACCUUUCUUUUAUGACUCCAUUAGUCUCCUUUUUCUGGACCUACUCCAAGUCCAAACAAACAAACAGAAAAACCUGUAUCCGUCUUCAUCUGCUCAGCAGUUUGUUAAUAAACGCUUCCCACUUUCAGAAAUGCUUAGGCUCUGUGGGAAAUUUAGGCUCCAUUAGCAGUGGGCAACUCAGAGCCAACUUCUGAUGGCCAUCACUCUGCUACAGGCACUCCAGGAGCAGGCCAAAACAACUGGUGUUGAUCAACUGCUUACUGUCUCCUAUUAGGAACCACUGAUUGAGAUUUCUUGCGUCACCCGCAGUCCCUACGAAGUAGCACAAACCUUCAGUGGGCUCAGUGGUUUUAAUCUCUUUCCACUGACACUGGAGGAAAAUCUGUUCUGAACUUCAGCACAGAGCUGUGUUUGAACACAGGAUAAAUCUGUACAUCGUGUUUAGCAGUGGAGAAUAAAAGAAUAAGGAAUAAAAGGAAGGGUGUUCCUAUAGACCUUCCGUUGCACAACAGGUUGUGUCUGGGAAAUACUGCCUUGCACCCAGCAUUGGUGAGGGAUGAUAGAAAUCCUGACCAGGGCACCCACUGCUGUGCUGGCUGUUUUAAGACAGAUUGUACAGGCAGUCAGCUCAGCAUGCAAAUUUGCCCUGGAUUUUUCUAGAGUCACAGCAACUUCCCAGGCCUCCAGAAAGUCAAGGUGACCUUCGAAGGGGAAGUCCGGAGCAUUGGUAGGUAAUGGGAAUUUAUAAAGAAAAAAAAAGAAAUGUUAGACUAAUUCCAACCCAUUACAGAACUCUUAAGAAAAAUGAACUGUAUCUGCUGAAGUGGCUCAUUCUGUUCAGUGGCACAAUGUAAUGGGGGAUCUGUCACUGUCAGUGCUGUUCUUGUCUCACUGAAAGCCACGGUGCCUUUCACAACCACUAAAUAAAAAUUCAAGCCAGCUGUCCCACCUGCCGGAGCAGUUUCUAUUCUGGGCUCUGUGUGCUGUAGGUAUUGUACUCAUUGAUUAGCUGUGGCUUUUUGUCCCUUGACAUUGUUAGGGAAUAUUCUCUAGGUUAUAAUCGCUAUGACUGAUGCAGGCAGAACAUUUCAAACCUUGCUGCUGCAGUUCAGGCUGCUAUUGUGCAUGGUGCUAGGCUGUGGCUACAUCUGCAGGUCAGACUAUGGUGGGAAGCAUUUUGAUAGGAAAUGAGAAGGAAACUUUAGAGAAGUUGCCUUAGUCAGAAAAGAUGGGGGCCUCCCUGACUCUAGCUGUCAAUCAGGUGUUAGGGCAAGAUUAACACCCUUUAGCAGUGACACAGCUGUUCCACUGAAGAUGCUAACAUGAAAGCAGGGGAGGGAAGAGCCUCUCGUGAAAUAAUGAACAGAGCCAGUGACUAUUAGUAAAAGGGAAGUUUUUACCCCAAGAAGCUGAAAGUGCCUCUUCAAGCUGGUUAUUUUAGUGGGAAUAAGUUCAAAAACAAGCAGAGCCUUACUUCAGGUCUGCAAGAGAAGCUAAAAUAUUUACCUCUCUUUUUAAGAUCAGACUGGCUUCUGGGGAGGAGAAUAACAGUGAUAAUGUAGAUAAUGAAGUCUCUUAAGAAGUCUCUUGGCAGAGAACGUGCAGAUUAACACACAAAUCCUUACCUAAAGAAGGCAUGCAGCACUGAGUCUCUUCCCCUGAUAGCACUGGAAGUUGUGAUAGGAGUUAGUUCGGGAAGAUAAUGGAUUUAACACUAGAAAGAAACUGGUAUUUUGCCCACGAUUGUCCUUCUAGGAAAGGAGUCAGAACAGUGAAUUUCUCCCUCUGCUGCUUAUGGUAAAAGUAGAAAAUAAUAGUUUAUCUUUAGCCUUUCUGCUGACCAAACUGAGUUUGUCCAAUGCAUCAGGAUCCCCCAGGACAGCAUAAUAUCAAAGACUUCUGCUGGAAGCCUUAGCAUAUCAGGAUGUUUAACACAGAGUUACACUUGGGAAUUAGAUUAUGCCAGCCAAGGGUGCAGUUUUACAGUCAGCUUAAGCUGACCUGAGGCCAGGUUGCCAACAGCAUUACUUCCCCAUUCAACCUAUGUAUCAACAUUUAUUCAGCCAUGCAAUCCAUUCCAUGACUGGAUUUGGUUGGGGCUUAAACAUGAUGGGUGUCAGUCCGAGAGAUGGGGGAUAAAAUGGGAUCACCCCUUCAAAUGGCAUCGUAGGCUUAAGCUAAUCAAGAACAGUAGUGUGAAGUUGUGCAGAAACAGGGACGCUAAAUCGCACAGUGUCUCUGUGAGAGAGAGAGAACUUUUUACUCAAUUUGCACCAAAACCUCCAGAGCCUUGAAUUCAUGCUUGAGGAACCAAGAACUGCCUGUCUGACCCCUAUGGGAGUCAGGGAGCUGCUAGUCCUGUGCUGCUUCACUCCUCACUCCUCAUUUCAUCUAUUACAAUCACCCCAUCAGAAAAAAAGAUUGCUCUUAAAUGCCACAGCCCCAAAGGUGUCAGGUCUGUACUUUCCUGCAGGAUGUGGGCCAGAUGCCCACCUCUGCCCAGACCUGCCCCACAGGAGCAGCCGUGCUCCCUUUCCCUUAAAGCACUCCACAGCCAUCCCACAGGAGCCAUCCCAGGAAUGAAGUGAAUCAGGCCCUGCCACCGGUGUGCAGGGAAGCGACAGCAGCUACAUCUGUUCACUCUACUCCACGCUCAGGAUCUUUGACAUUGCUAUCAGUACAGCCUGAAACAGAACGGGUGCGAGCUCUGGGAAAGAGUAGUGGGUUCGGAUGGAAACAAUAACAACCACAGGGAUACCACCAGCCCUAGUGGGAGCAAAAAUAUUGCUUUACCACUUCUGAGUGCAGCAGAGCAUAUGGACAGUCUGGGACUGUUGUCAGCAACCCAGAAUGGGGUAGCACUGUUCUGGCAAACACCAUCUUUUGUCUUUAUGACCAAAGAAUAGUUGCGUGUUGGAAGCUCUGUAGUUGCUAGGGGAUGAGCCAUUAAUAUGUUGGCGACUCAGAAGUCAGCCAAAGAAAAUGCUGAGAUAAAAUUACUUUUUACCGCCUCUGUUUCACCCCAAGUGUGUCAUCCAGUCUACUUGCUCUGCUUAGGCCUGCUUCACCACACUGCUCAGUGCAGCCUGCAAGUCUUGCCUGCAGCAGUGGCGAGCGCAGCUCUGGAAAGGUUUAAUCCAAAACAGAACAAAGUAUUCCUAUUCCAAAAUAAAUACAUCCGUAGAUCUCCUGAUUUUACAAUAGCAUUCACUAAACAAUGGAGAGAAUACAAGAACUCUGAAAAGGAGCUGCAAACAUCGAGAUUCAGAGGAACCAGGAAUCCUGGACUGCCAUGCGUACAGCCUGCUGACCUCCAGCAGGUGGAUGUGUGAUGGAAGGAGCUGUGCCCUGAUGAGUGUGAAGGUCAUGUGCUGCAAGCUCCAGGUUGCAGGGGUCCGUUUCCGUGCUGUCUGCCGAUGGUGCUGCCUGAAGGAAAACCAUGGAAACGGAGUUUGACAGGCUCACAGGGACCCACGGCUGCCAGAGCCGCUGCCUUUGAGCGCCUGAUGAAGACAUCACAGAGCAAACACAACAUUAAAACGCUGCUGGCUGCUUUGCAUCACUUAGAAUGCAAAUCUCUUUGUUCUGCUCGGCCCUUGCGUUUUGUAGCUGAGGAAUCUGUGCUAUCAUCUAACACGGAUUUGCUGACCUUUCUUCCUUCCCUGUCCACUCUCC
Non-coding RNA from Meleagris gallopavo (turkey), 6312 nucleotides. The record is from RefSeq and is a predicted model, not a curated record. Lineage: Eukaryota; Metazoa; Chordata; Aves; Galliformes; Phasianidae.